ACGAACGCUGGCGGCGUGCUUAACACAUGCAAGUCGAACGCUGAAGCUCAGCUUUUGUUGGGUGGAUGAGUGGCGAACGGGUGAGUAACACGUGAGUAACCUGCCUCCUUCUUUGGGAUAACGCCCGGAAACGGGUGCUAAUACUGGAUAUUCACUGGUCUUCGCAUGGGGGUUGGUGGAAAGGGUUUUUCUGGUGGGGGAUGGGCUCGCGGCCUAUCAGCUUGUUGGUGGGGUGAUGGCCUACCAAGGCUUUGACGGGUAGCCGGCCUGAGAGGGUGACCGGUAACAGUGGGACUGAGAAACGGCCCAGACUCGUACGGGGGGCAGCAGUGGGGAAUAUUGCACAAUGGGCGCAAGCCUGAUGCCGCGACGCCGCGUGAGGGAUGGGGGCCUUCGGGUUGUGAACCUCUUUCGCUCGUGGUCAAGCCGCAACAAUGGUUGUGGUGAGGGUAGUGGGUAAAGAAGCGCCGGCUAACUACGUG
RNAcentral lists this ribosomal RNA (482 nucleotides) under uncultured bacterium. RNAcentral's name for it is "partial 16S ribosomal RNA". It matches the Rfam family "Bacterial small subunit ribosomal RNA", at positions 29 to 507 of the family's 1533-position model. The record is from RNAcentral.